UAUGUGAUCGUCUCUCGCAUAUCAAUAAGCGGAGGAAAAGAAACUAACAAGGAUUCCCCUAGUAACGGCGAGUGAAGCGGGAAGAGCUCAAAUUUGAAAUCUUAAAGGGUUUCCCUUUACGAAUUGUAGUUUAAAGAAGUGUUUUCUGUUGAGGUUUUGGUAAAAGUUCUUUGGAAUAGGACAUCAUAGAGGGUGAGAAUCCCGUAUUUGACCUUUACUUUCAACUUUGUGAUACACUUUCAAAGAGUCGGAUUGUUUGGGAAUGCAGUCCAAAAUGGGUGGUAAAUUUCAUCUAAAGCUAAAUAUUGGCGAGAGACCGAUAGCGAACAAGUACCGUGAGGGAAAGAUGAAAAGAACUUUGAAAAGAGAGUAAAACAGUACGUGAAAUUGUCAAAAGGGAAGCGUUUGACACCAGUGUUGUUUUUCUGAAAAUCAAUUAAAGAACUGUUUAUGCUAAGUUGUUUAGACUUUAUCAGCUAACUGUUUAGUUUUGAGCUUUUCUUUAAUGCACUUUUCAGUUAACAAGUCAACAUCAAUUUCUUUUGCUGUAAAAAAGCUUGAGGAAGGUGGCUUGAGAUUCGUCUUAAGUGUUUAUAGCCUCUUGCCUAUGCAGUCGGAGAGAUUGAGGUCUGCAGCGUAGAUCCUUCGGGGCUAAAUGCACUUUGUGCUAAGUUAUAGCAUUUUAUAGACAACUUGUUGACUAUGAUUUGUCUUGUAGCUUACUCGCUUAUGUUAUUUUACCUACGCUUAGGAUGUUGAGUAUCGCGCUCUCACUG
This 776-nucleotide ribosomal RNA is filed under the name uncultured Neocallimastigales. Its description in RNAcentral is "partial large subunit ribosomal RNA". It matches the Rfam family "Eukaryotic large subunit ribosomal RNA", at positions 24 to 614 of the family's 3401-position model. The record is from RNAcentral. Lineage: Eukaryota; Fungi; Neocallimastigomycota; Neocallimastigomycetes; Neocallimastigales.